UGAGCAAUCUGCCCUUCUCAUCGGAAUAAGCGUUGGAAACGACGUCUAAUGCCGAAUACGACCUCCUUUCGCAUGAUCGGAGGUGGAAAGCUCCGGCGGAGAAGGAUGAGCUCGCGGCCUAUCAGCUAGUUGGUGUGGGUAACGGCCCACCAAGGCGACGACGGGGUAGCCGGCCUGAGAGGGCGACCGGUCACACUGGGACUGAGACACGGCCCAGACUCCGUACGGGAGGCAGCG
Molecule: ribosomal RNA, 237 nt
Filed under: uncultured bacterium
Lineage: Bacteria
Description: partial 16S ribosomal RNA
Rfam family: Bacterial small subunit ribosomal RNA
Source: RNAcentral